This 505-nucleotide ribosomal RNA is filed under the name uncultured bacterium. RNAcentral describes it as "partial 16S ribosomal RNA". It matches the Rfam family "Bacterial small subunit ribosomal RNA", at positions 28 to 507 of the family's 1533-position model. The record is from RNAcentral.
GACGAACGCUGGCGGCGUGCCUAAUACAUGCAAGUGGGACGCAAGGAAACACACUGUGCUUGCACACCGUGUUUUCUUGAGUCGCGAACGGGUGAGUAACGCGUAGGUAACCUGCCUAUUAGCGGGGGAUAACUAUUGGAAACGAUAGCUAAUACCGCAUAAUAUUAAUUAUUGCAUGAUAAUUGAUUGAAAGAUGCAAGCGCAUCACUAGUAGAUGGACCUGCGUUGUAUUAGCUAGUUGGUAAGGUAAGAGCUUACCAAGGCGACGAUACAUAGCCGACCUGAGAGGGUGAUCGGCCACACUGGGACUGAGACACGGCCCAGACUCCUACGGGAGGCAGCAGUAGGGAAUCUUCGGCAAUAGACGAAAGUCUGACCGAGCAACGCCGCGUGAGUGAAGAAGGUUGUCGGAUCGUAAAGCUCUGUUGUAAGUCAAGAACGUGUGUGAGAGUGGAAAGUUCACACAGUGACGGUAGCUUACCAGAAAGGGACGGCUAACUACGUG